RNAcentral lists this ribosomal RNA (154 nucleotides) under Pseudomonas sp. NB231. Its description in RNAcentral is "partial 16S ribosomal RNA". It matches the Rfam family "Bacterial small subunit ribosomal RNA", at positions 338 to 486 of the family's 1533-position model. Lineage: Bacteria; Pseudomonadati; Pseudomonadota; Gammaproteobacteria; Pseudomonadales; Pseudomonadaceae. The record is from RNAcentral. RNAcentral also lists the same sequence under 1 other name.
CCUACGGGAGGCAGCAGUGGGGAAUAUUGGACAAUGGGCGAAAGCCUGAUCCAGCCAUGCCGCGUGUGUGAAGAAGGUCUUCGGAUUGUAAAGCACUUUAAGUUGGGAGGAAGGGCAGUUACCUAAUACGUGACUGUUUGACGUACCGACAGAA